GGGGAUGUAGCUCAAAUGGUAAAGCACUUGCUUUUCAUUUAAGAGCUACUGGGAUCGAUACACCGCAUUUCCAAAUUAUGUGAGAGGUAUGAGGUUUGAUACCCCGCAUCUCCA
Molecule: transfer RNA, 114 nt
Filed under: Nelumbo nucifera (sacred lotus)
Lineage: Eukaryota; Viridiplantae; Streptophyta; Magnoliopsida; Proteales; Nelumbonaceae
Rfam family: tRNA
About the family: Transfer RNA (tRNA) molecules are approximately 80 nucleotides in length.
Source: Rfam by way of RNAcentral